CCUACGGGGGGCUGCAGUGGGGAAUAUUGGACAAUGGGGGGAACCCUGAUCCAGCGACGCCGCGUGAGUGAAGAAGUCUUUCGGUAUGUAAAGCUCUAUUAGCAGGGAAGAAAGAAAUGACGGUACCUGAAUAAGAAGCCCCGGCUAACUACGUGCCAGCGGCCGCGGUAAUACGGAGGGGGCAAGCGUUAUCCGGAUUUACUGGGUGUACAGGGAGCGUAGGCGGUUACGCAAGUCUGGAGUGAAAGGCGGGGGCUCAACCCCCGGACUGCUUUGGAACCUGUAUAACUGGAGUGCAGGAGAGGUGGGUGGAAUUCGUAGUGUAGCGGUGAAAUGCGUAGAUAUUAGGAGGAACACCAGUGGCGAAGGCGGCUUACUGGACUGUAACUGACGUUGAGGCUCGAAAGCGUGGGGAGCAAACAGGAUUAGAUACCCUUGUAGUC
Molecule: ribosomal RNA, 443 nt
Filed under: uncultured bacterium
Lineage: Bacteria
Description: partial 16S ribosomal RNA
Rfam family: Bacterial small subunit ribosomal RNA
Source: RNAcentral